This is a non-coding RNA of Homo sapiens (human), 148 nucleotides long. It matches the Rfam family "Metazoan signal recognition particle RNA". From Rfam's summary of the family: The signal recognition particle (SRP) is a universally conserved ribonucleoprotein. Lineage: Eukaryota; Metazoa; Chordata; Mammalia; Primates; Hominidae. The record is from Rfam.
GCUGGGCGUGGUGGCACACGCCUGUGAUCUCAGCUACUCGGGAGGCUGAGGCAGGAGAAUCGCUUGAACCCAGGAGAUGGAGGUUGCAGUGAGCUGAGAUGUCGCUACUGCACUCCAGCCUGGGUGACAGAGUGAGACCCUGUCUCAA